Clupea harengus (Atlantic herring) is the source of this 490-nucleotide long non-coding RNA. RefSeq lists it as uncharacterized. Lineage: Eukaryota; Metazoa; Chordata; Actinopteri; Clupeiformes; Clupeidae. The record is from RefSeq and is a predicted model, not a curated record.
GGAAUCAACAAUAAUAAAACCGCUUAACCAUUAAUCACUAGGAGCAGGGCAUUCUCAAGGGCUUGUGGUGAACACCUAGCUUCUGGGGCCUAGAGGCAUUCUUCAGAGGAGUAAAAUUGCAGUACCUCAUGUGAUUCUAUCUCAUAGUGUACAGGUGUGGUACCUGCUGGUGAUGGGCACCACCUGGUAGGUGCGGAGCUGCAUGUUCCUCUGGGUGCAGGCGGUGUCGUGGUUGAGGAGGAUGUUCAUGACGCUGAAGAGCUGCUCGAUGCGCUGGUCCUGGCGCAGGUCCUCACCCCCCUUCACUAGGAACGGGUAGUCCUUCUCAUCGUCACCGCGGAUUAUCAGGCGCUUCGGACGCCGGAGGGAGGUCAUGACCUUCACCUGAGCCAUAAAAGGCACUAGGAGUGUCGUAGGCUCCUGUACUGUGAUGCUGGAAGACUUCCAGGCCUCACCUGGGAUCUCCAGCUCAUUCCUCAGGGUUUCGGGC